UAGAGUUUGAUCAUGGCUCAGAACAAACGCUGGCGGCGUGCCUAACACAUGCAAGUCGAGCGAUCCUUCGUUCAAUUUGAGAUGAGAGCUUGCUCAAAUCAAGAUGCGAACACUUUGGGAUAGCGGCGAACGGGUGAGUAAUGUGUGGGUAACCUACCCUAUAGUCUGGGAUAACCUGUGGAAACAUGGGCUAAUACCGGAUAAUGUCCCCCGAUGGCAUCAUCGGAGGAGCAAAGGAAUUUAUUUCGCUAUUGGAUGGACCCACAUUCUAUUAGCUAGUUGGCGGGGUAACGGCCCACCAAGGCUCUGAUGGAUAGCCGGUCUGAGAGGAUGAACGGCCACACUGGAACUGAGACACGGUCCAGACUCCUACGGGAGGCAGCAGUGAGGAAUUUUCCGCAAUGGGCGAAAGCCUGACGGAGCAACGCCGCGUGAGGGAUGAAGGCUUUCGGGUCGUAAACCUCUUUCAGCAGGGACGAAGCCGUAAGGUGACGGUACCUGCAGAAGAAGCCCCGGCCAACUACGUGCCAGCAGCCGCGGUAAUAC
This 546-nucleotide ribosomal RNA is filed under the name uncultured Actinomycetales bacterium. RNAcentral's name for it is "bacterial SSU rRNA". It matches the Rfam family "Bacterial small subunit ribosomal RNA", at positions 1 to 526 of the family's 1533-position model. The record is from RNAcentral. Lineage: Bacteria; Bacillati; Actinomycetota; Actinomycetes; Actinomycetales.